AGUGAACGCUGGCGGUAGGCCUAACACAUGCAAGUCGAACGGCAGCACAGGAGAGCUUGCUCUCUGGGUGGCGAGUGGCGGACGGGUGAGGAAUACAUCGGAAUCUACUCUGUCGUGGGGGAUAACGUAGGGAAACUUACGCUAAUACCGCAUACGACCUACGGGUGAAAGCAGGGGACCUUCGGGCCUUGCGCGAUUGAAUGAGCCGAUGUCGGAUUAGCUAGUUGGCGGGGUAAAGGCCCACCAAGGCGACGAUCCGUAGCUGGUCUGAGAGGAUGAUCAGCCACACUGGGACUGAGACACGGUCCAGACUCCUACGGGAGGCAGCAGUGGGGAAUAUUGGACAAUGGGCGCAAGCCUGAUCCAGCCAUACCGCGUGGGUGAAGAAGGCCUUCGGGUUGUAAAGCCCUUUUGUUGGGAAAGAAAUCCAGCUGGCUAAUACCCGGUUGGGAUGACGGUACCCAAAGAAUAAGCACCGGCUAACUCUGUGCCAGCCGCCGCAGUAA
This 506-nucleotide ribosomal RNA is filed under the name uncultured bacterium. Its description in RNAcentral is "partial 16S ribosomal RNA". It matches the Rfam family "Bacterial small subunit ribosomal RNA", at positions 29 to 523 of the family's 1533-position model. The record is from RNAcentral.